This 2325-nucleotide long non-coding RNA is filed under the name Daphnia pulex (common water flea). RNAcentral's name for it is "uncharacterized LOC124208910, transcript variant X1". The record is from RNAcentral. Lineage: Eukaryota; Metazoa; Arthropoda; Branchiopoda; Diplostraca; Daphniidae.
GAAACCAACAACUUUGACGACGACAACCAAGACAACUGCGAGGACAUCGUUAACCCAACAACAUUCAAGACACCGCUAAACCAACUACCACAACAUCAUCCAAGACAACGCCCACCAAGCCCUUCACCUCGAAGACAACCACCAAACCCUCCAGCAGUACCUCCUUUAAGAACGUCGUCCACUUAACCCUGCCACGACAAAGCCGCCGAACACAUCAACGACAACAACCGCAAGCCAACUCUGAGCAGCAAAUUGGCAAAACAACAUCUGCCGGGACCACGUCGGCCAUCUCGGCGACAAUGAGCACAAAGUCCAGCAGCACCUUGAACUCGACAUCAACAACUGAACAACAACAACCAGAAUGGAGGUCAAACGGGCGCAUUAACAUCGACAUUAUGAUCGGGCACUAGAUCAUUGGAAAUAGACCUUUAAUGCUGCAAGAGAGGAUGACAUGCAUUUCGUCCUGUACUUAAAUAAGGGAUGUGUAGAAAUAGCUCAUUAUUAUCCUCUGAUAGCCGGAACUUGAAGACCCUUCAUUCUCGCCAAUAGAGCAGCCACAGUUUUUCAUCCCAGGGAACCAUUCAGCCUUUCGACAAGUUCAACCAGAGCGCAGCCACGAAAGUGGGUACUUUCGUUCUACUGGAAUCGCAACUUCCGACUAAAGUGGUGGCCGUGGAACCCGUGCUGGACGCGCAGCUUGACGUUUUAUAGAGUCCGGGUUUUAUCGACGAUGCAACAUUUGGCUGAGAACUGGAUGGAGAAAAUGCUUGGAAAAUUCUUGUUCCAGCUGUUUGCCGAUGCAGGGAUGGAACAGGUGACACUACACCAGCAUUGUUGUCGUUAGCGACAUUACGACGACAACGACGGCCAAACCUACAACCGACAGCGCCAACUACAACCACCAUGGCUCCAACAACAACUCCUCUACCGAUUCUUUUUAGUUGCAUCCUUCCUGAUCCAGCAGUCUCUACAAAUCCAUUGCGGUAGUCGUCGGGAGAAAAGCGUGAUGCGGAACUGGCACCAAUGUGACAUCAGGGGGAGGUGUCGUCCAGUCUCGCAACUUUCCCGUCCGGAGACUACGGCAAUGAUUCCACAUUUUGCCAAGUCACCAUAAUCACGCCAGUAUAGGAAAGAGAAUCCAAUUGAAAUUCGCCACCUUCAUUGUGGAGACUGACAAAGCCUAUGUUCAGGUUGCCGAUGGUGUCUAGGGACUCUAUUGUUUUCAACAGCCGGAAACACAAUUCCUGCCGCAGUGCCCGUAACAACCAACGUUAUGUCCAUCGGCUUUCAAUCCCAAUACAUUUGGCAGGCGACUUUUUCUGUGACGAGCCAAGGGAGUUCUUGUUCCAUGUUGUAUCUAUCAGAGUGAGGAAAUGUGUGCACCAAUGUGACGUCAGCGGGCACUGGUGUUGUCUAGUAUCCAAACUUCCCCGGAGACUAUUGCAAAUUCUAACAAAUGCGUUGCCGUCAUGGUCGUGCCAGCAAGAAAGCGAAUCCAAUUGAAAUUCACCACCUUCAAUUUGGAGACUAACCCAAGCCUUUGUUUAUGUUGAUGAAGGAUACACGUCUUUAUUGCUCUGUUCAACCGGAAGUACAGCUCCUGCAUAGUCACCUCAACUAGCAACACAAUGUAUUUGCCUUUUUAUAUACCACCGGUAGCAGUAUGAAACCCAAUAAUUGGCAGGCGACUCACACGUUGUUGCGUGACGGUCCAAAUUUCACAUCACAAAUCCUAUUUUCAUUGCAAACGGGCACCGUUUUCAUUUUCUUUCAUCCUGAGCAUGCAGGAAAAUACAACUAUUGCAACAGUACAAUAUCUACAACAGAAAAAGGAACAACAGUUAAGAUAAAGUCACAGUAUAAAAUAACUUGUUUUCCUUCUUUAUCAAGGUGCAUUUUGACAGAAUCAAUUAUCACUUGAAUCUCUAACCCUUUGGAUUUUUAGAAUUAUAUUUAUUAUCCGUUAUAUAACUACCGCAUGUUGUUAUAACAGCCGUUGUUUUUUAAGUAGUGUAGGUGCAUGUGGAUACAGGUGUACCUGGAUGUGGACACGUCAGUACAACUAGCUGGGCAAUGGAAUCAAUUUGUACCGAGUUCAAUUAUAGAUCCAACACAUGCGCACCUGCUGGCAAUGUGGCAUCAGGUGUUGGCUAUUAAUGAGCAAAUAUAUUUUGAUUCCCUCCAUUUUGUAGAACCUGUUGAAGUUGUACUGGACUCCGGCCGACCGGAUAAAAAAGGGGACCGGCCAGUGAUACAGAGACAGGAUUCAACGAGAGCUGCGCAUCGACUCGGCACGGACAACCUUUUUCUCUCCGCAAUCCAGUC